RNAcentral lists this non-coding RNA (26 nucleotides) under Homo sapiens (human). Lineage: Eukaryota; Metazoa; Chordata; Mammalia; Primates; Hominidae. The record is from RNAcentral.
UAGUUGCCUUUACGGAGCAGGCGGUG